Ornithorhynchus anatinus (platypus) is the source of this 67-nucleotide non-coding RNA. The record is from Rfam. Lineage: Eukaryota; Metazoa; Chordata; Mammalia; Monotremata; Ornithorhynchidae.
CCAGCAUUCCCAGGUAGGCCAGGGUGUCCUACAGAAAAACCUUGGGUCGCACCUUUGGGGGUUCUGG